This is a long non-coding RNA of Gasterosteus aculeatus aculeatus (three-spined stickleback), 1097 nucleotides long. Lineage: Eukaryota; Metazoa; Chordata; Actinopteri; Perciformes; Gasterosteidae. The record is from Ensembl.
AUUCACCACGAAGACUGAUCCCAACCAACAGGCACGUAGGAAAGCAUUAAUAAAACGCCUCGUUCCACAACUACGUCCAUUCAGACUGAGACGGCUCUUCUUCUGCACAGCAGGAGAAGCAGUGGGAGCAGAGCAGAAAGAGGGCGGGGGGGGGGGACGAGAGAUGAGAGACAACCACUGGACACGAGGGACGCAUGUGUCUUUUUCUGCACAGCGUGGUGAAAGACAGGAAGCGAAGAACUAACCAAUGAGAAGCCGACUAACCAGAUGGCACCAGGCACAUUCUUCGAGGGAAGUUGAGACACUUUGUUCCCACCUGCUUUUCCGCUGGUGCCCCACUUACUUCCGCUGACACACACACACACACACACACACACACACACACAGACACACACACACACAGUGCGGCCUCCAGAUCUUGCGACCCCCCCCCCGACAGCUACAAAUGUUCUCAUCACUUUGCAUUCGAGGGGUUGCUUCGAGAGUUCACUCAUUGUGAGGUGAAACAAACCGUGUCACCGCGAGUCACCGGGCGACAACAGCAGCCGCUUCACCGUUUGACACCCGCUGCUCAAAGCACCGCUUCGCUGGAAACGAUCACGGGAAGUGACGCGCGAGCGUCAGCCGGGUGAGCUGACCAAGAGAAGAGCGGGUGUGAAUGUGGCUGAGGGGAGACGGAUGGAACAGAACCACCGCACGAAGCGGCGAGGACCAAUCAGCAGCAAUCAGCAAUGAGCUUCACGCGCUCGCAGGUGGAGGCCCGUGUGUGGCUUUGCCAAUCCUCUGAUGCCGGACUUGAUGAUCCAAUCAAAUUCUAUUAAGCGUUCGCAAAUAUGCAAAAUAGUGUGUACGCGUGUGCGUCUCUCUCUCUGUGGUUUGUUUCUUGAGGCGCAAAACACGUGUCCAUGUGCAGGAUGUCGUGAGACGCCGUCGCAAAGUAAAGAUUGUGCUUUCGGCCCUUUGAGCUGAGGGCCAGUUCCACUUCCUGUUCCCCUCCUUCCUCUUCUAUUCUUCCGCCAGGGCCGCCUCUCUUCCUCCUGCCAUCCCUCUUCUCAAGGCUGAGUCAACAGAGCGGCUGACCGGGAGGGGGGCCGGGG